RNAcentral lists this ribosomal RNA (632 nucleotides) under Bacillus sp. (in: firmicutes). RNAcentral's name for it is "bacterial SSU rRNA". It matches the Rfam family "Bacterial small subunit ribosomal RNA", at positions 66 to 679 of the family's 1533-position model. Lineage: Bacteria; Bacillati; Bacillota; Bacilli; Caryophanales; Bacillaceae. The record is from RNAcentral.
GCGGACAGAUGGGAGCUUGCUCCCUGAUGUUAGCGGCGGACGGGUGAGUAACACGUGGGUAACCUGCCUGUAAGACUGGGAUAACUCCGGGAAACCGGGGCUAAUACCGGAUGCUUGUUUGAACCGCAUGGUUCAAACAUAAAAGGUGGCUUCGGCUACCACUUACAGAUGGACCCGCGGCGCAUUAGCUAGUUGGUGAGGUAAUGGCUCACCAAGGCAACGAUGCGUAGCCGACCUGAGAGGGUGAUCGGCCACACUGGGACUGAGACACGGCCCAGACUCCUACGGGAGGCAGCAGUAGGGAAUCUUCCGCAAUGGACGAAAGUCUGACGGAGCAACGCCGCGUGAGUGAUGAAGGUUUUCGGAUCGUAAAGCUCUGUUGUUAGGGAAGAACAAGUACCGUUCGAAUAGGGCGGUACCUUGACGGUACCUAACCAGAAAGCCACGGCUAACUACGUGCCAGCAGCCGCGGUAAUACGUAGGUGGCAAGCGUUGUCCGGAAUUAUUGGGCGUAAAGGGCUCGCAGGCGGUUUCUUAAGUCUGAUGUGAAAGCCCCCGGCUCAACCGGGGGAGGGUCAGUGGAAACUGGGGAACUGUGAGUGCAGAAGAGGAGAGUGAAUUCCACGUGUAGC